RNAcentral lists this ribosomal RNA (253 nucleotides) under uncultured bacterium. Its description in RNAcentral is "partial 16S ribosomal RNA". It matches the Rfam family "Bacterial small subunit ribosomal RNA", at positions 524 to 776 of the family's 1533-position model. The record is from RNAcentral.
UACGUAGGGGGCAAGCGUUGUCCGGAAUCAUUGGGCGUAAAGCGCGCGUAGGCGGCCCGGUAAGUCCGCUGUGAAAGUCAAAGGCUCAACCUUUGAAUGUCAGCGGAUACUGCCGGGCUAGAGUCCGGAAGAGGCGAGUGGAACUCCUGGUGUAGCGGUGGAAUGCGCAGAUAUCAGGAAGAACACCAACGGCGAAGGCAGCUCGCUGGGACGGAACUGACGCUGAGGAGCGAAAGCGUGGGGAGCAAACAGG